UACAGAGGUCUCAAGCGUUGUUCGGAUUCAUUGGGCGUAAAGGGUGCGUAGGUGGCGGGGUAAGUCAGGUGUGAAAUUUCGGAGCUCAACUCCGAAACUGCAUUUGAUACUGCCUUGCUUGAGGACUGGAGAGGAGACUGGAAUUCACGGUGUAGCAGUGAAAUGCGUAGAUAUCGUGAGGAAGACCAGUGGCGAAGGCGGAUCUCUGGACAGUUACUGACACUGAGGCACGAAGGCCAGGGGAGCAAACGGG
This 253-nucleotide ribosomal RNA is filed under the name uncultured bacterium. Its description in RNAcentral is "partial 16S ribosomal RNA". It matches the Rfam family "Bacterial small subunit ribosomal RNA", at positions 524 to 776 of the family's 1533-position model. The record is from RNAcentral.